RNAcentral lists this ribosomal RNA (253 nucleotides) under uncultured bacterium. Its description in RNAcentral is "partial 16S ribosomal RNA". It matches the Rfam family "Bacterial small subunit ribosomal RNA", at positions 524 to 776 of the family's 1533-position model. The record is from RNAcentral.
UACGGAGGUGGCAAGCGUUGCUCGGAAUCACUGGGCGUAAAGGGCGCGUAGGCGGGGAGGUAAGUCGGGUGUGAAAUCCCUCGGCCCAACCGAGGAACUGCGCCCGAGACUGCUUCCCUUGAGUCCCGGAGAGGAAGAUGGAAUUCCCGGUGUAGCGGUGAAAUGUGUAGAGAUCGGGAGGAACACCGGUGGCGAAGGCGGUCUUCUGGACGGUGACUGACGCUGAGGCGCGAAAGCGUGGGGAGCAAACGGG